This 544-nucleotide ribosomal RNA is filed under the name Helicotylenchus sp. VII-2. Its description in RNAcentral is "eukaryotic LSU rRNA". The stretch from base 367 to 544 matches the Rfam family "Eukaryotic large subunit ribosomal RNA", at positions 665 to 813 of the family's 3401-position model. Lineage: Eukaryota; Metazoa; Nematoda; Chromadorea; Rhabditida; Hoplolaimidae. The record is from RNAcentral.
UGUGUUCAGUCGCGGGCUCGUUGGCGUCAGGGAUGCCGCUCUCCAGAUUGGGACGGUAGCCUGGCUGUUGGCGGGCUUGUGGUGCAUUGGCAGGUGGAGUGCGUUGAGGCGCUCGGUGCAGCGGCAUGAGCUCGUGUCUUGAGGCCAGCCACGCAAGUGGUCUGGUACCCGGAUCGGGGGAGUGCUGUUUGCGCUGGGUGUUUGUUGUGUGAGCAGUGGUCUCGGGCCCGGGUGGUGCCGAGCGGUCAGUCGGCGGCGGUCGCGUGCGACACGUGUCGGCGGGCUGUUCGGUCUUGCUCGUGGCUCCCACUUUGCUCGUCCUCGGUGUAAAAGCCGGUCAUCUGUCCGACCCGUCUUGAAACACGGACCAAGGAGUUUAGCGUGUGCGCGAGUCAUUGGGUGUUGAAAACCUAAAGGCGUAAUGAAAGUGAAGGUCUGCCUUGUGCAGCUGAUGUGUGAUCCUGGCCACCGCGGUGCGUCCGGGCGCAACAUAGUCCCGUCCCGAUCGCAUGCGAUGGGGCGGAGACAGAGCGUACGCGCUGAG